CAGUAGUGUUAUCCGUCAAGAAAAGAAAGAUUUUACCCUAUAGUAUUCAUGUGUAAAGUGCGUGCAUCUGUUGAGGAUUUAAUUAAACCAUCUUAUUUUUUCUAACAUCAUUCGACCCAUGAGAUUCGUGUAGGCACACAUGGCAGGGACAGAGUCAUCACACAAUAUACGAGUAUUUAAAGGAAAUACUUAUGGGACGGAUCA
Molecule: long non-coding RNA, 204 nt
Organism: Belonocnema kinseyi
Lineage: Eukaryota; Metazoa; Arthropoda; Insecta; Hymenoptera; Cynipidae
Exons: 3
Source: RefSeq, a predicted model, not a curated record